Molecule: ribosomal RNA, 468 nt
Filed under: uncultured bacterium
Lineage: Bacteria
Description: partial 16S ribosomal RNA
Rfam family: Bacterial small subunit ribosomal RNA
Source: RNAcentral
GACGAACGCUGGCGGCGUGCUUAACACAUGCAAGUCGAACGGAAAGGCCCUGCUUUUGUGGGGUGCUCGAGUGGCGAACGGGUGAGUAACACGUGAGUAACCUGCCCUUGACUUUGGGAUAACUUCAGGAAACUGUGGCUAAUACCGGAUAGGAGCUCCUGCUGCAUGGUGGGGGUUGGAAAGUUUCGGCGGUUGGGGAUGGACUCGCGGCUUAUCAGCUUGUUGGUGGGGUAGUGGCUUACCAAGGCUUUGACGGGUAGCCGGCCUGGGAGGGUGACCGGCCAGAUUGGGACUGAGAUACGGCCCAGACUCCUACGGGAGGCAGCAGUGGGGAAUAUUGCACAAUGGGCGGAAGCCUGAUGCAGCAACGCCGCGUGCGGGAUGACGGCCUUCGGGUUGUAAACCGCUUUCGCCUGUGACGAAGCGUGAGUGACGGUAAUGGGUAAAGAAGCACCGGCUAACUACGUG